Non-coding RNA from Caenorhabditis elegans, 21 nucleotides. The record is from Ensembl. Lineage: Eukaryota; Metazoa; Nematoda; Chromadorea; Rhabditida; Rhabditidae.
UCGAUACAGAAAUGUCAAACA